This 3087-nucleotide ribosomal RNA is filed under the name marine sediment metagenome. RNAcentral's name for it is "eukaryotic LSU rRNA". It matches the Rfam family "Eukaryotic large subunit ribosomal RNA", at positions 1 to 2722 of the family's 3401-position model. The record is from RNAcentral.
UCGCGACUAGGUGAAAAACUGGUUCAUAAGUUGAUCAAGCAAUGUGCUUUUUCAUUAGGUUUUUAACUGUUUGUAUAUAUGAUCUAAAACUUGUUACAAGUUGAACGAUUGUAUUUGCAAUUAGCUAUAAUCGCUUGGUAUGAUCUCAAAUGAGGCAAGGCAACCCCCUGAGUUUAAGCAUAUUCAUAAGGGGAGGAAAAGAAACUAAAUAGGAUUCCCUCAGUAACGGCGAGUGAACCGGGAAAAGCUCAACCUGAAUCUCAGUUGGUUUCCUUCUGUGACUUGUGGGUUAUGGAGGCAUAUUCAGCGUGUGGCCCUGGUCUAAGUCUGUUGGAAAGCAGCUGUCAGAGAGGGUGAGAACCCCGUCUGUGACUAGGAGUCCGCCGCGUACGAAUUGUCAUCCGAGAGUCGGAUUGCUUGUGAAUGCAAUCUUAAGACAGGUGGUAAAUUCCAUCUAAAGCUAAAUACCUAUGAUAGUCCGAUAGCGCACAAGUACCGUAAGGGAAAGGCGAAAAGAACUUUGGAAAGAGAGUUAAAAGUACUUGAAACUGCUUAAAGUAAUGGGAUAAGAACUGUUGGAUCGGGUCGCCACUUUAACCUCAGUUUCCGCGGUUUUAGGUAUCUUUUGCAUGACAGCUGUUCAUUUUUCUUGGUUCCUUGUGUUCCUUUUUAAAUGUAUAGGUUUUGCUUAGUGUCCGACAUCUGUGCUGAGGGUUAGUGAGCGCGAGUAGUGUCAAAAUGGAUUUGGUGCUUAUACGAGAGUUUUGAGGUUGGUAGAGUUUUGAUCGUUGGUCUUCCCUCGUGAUUCUCGAAUGUCUCUUUACAAUUUUAUUUGCUCUGGAUCAAGGCUUUUUGCGAUAUUUGGCCAUAUACGGUUCUUAUCCUCCCGUCUUGAAACACGGACCAAGGAGUCUAACGUGCGCGCGAGUCAUAGGGUGUAAAAACCUAAAGGCGUAAUGAAAGUGAAGAAUUGACACUUCGUCUCUUUUUAGAUGUGAUUUGCUUUUUAGCUUUGCAACAUCGCCCGGCCAUGCCUUUGUGCGUGGUUCGAGGUCGAGCGUGUACGCUAGGACCCGAAAGAUGGUGAACUAUGCCUGGGUAGGGUGAAGCCAGGGGAAACCCUGGUGGAAGCUCGUAGCGAUACUGACGUGCAAAUCGUUCGUCAUACCUGGGUAUAGGGGCGAAAGACCAAUCGAACCAUCUAGUAGCUGGUUCCCUCCGAAGUUUCCCUCAGGAUAGCUGGGUCAAACAUCAGUUGCGUAUGGUAAAGCUAAUGAUUAGAGGAUUUUGGGACGAAACGUCUUGAACCUAUUCUCAAACUUUAAAUAUACGUGGCACACUUCUUCCCUUUCUGGUUGAUUUGUGAUAAUGAUAAAGACCUUAGUGGGCCAUUUUUGGUAAGCAGAACUGGCGAUGUGGGAUCAACCAAACGUUGAGUUAAGGUGCCAAAUAUUCGCUUAUGUAGAUUCCGUAAAAGGUGUUGGUUCAUAAAGACAGCAGGACGGUGGCCAUGGAAGUUGGAAUCCGCUAAGGAGUGUGUAACAACUCACCUGCCGAAUGAACUAGCCCUGAAAAUGGAUGGCGCUUAAGCGAAUAACCGAAACUUGACCGUUAACAUAACAUUGUUUUCAAUUUUCAUGUUAACGUGUAGGAGGGCGUGGUUCAUGUUAAGAAGCUUCGGGGGUAACCUCAGGUGGAGCAUGACCCAGUGCAGAUCUUGGUGGUAGUAGCAAGUAUUCAAAUGCGAACUUUGAAGACUGAAGUGGGGAAGGGUUCCAUGUUGAACAGCAGUUGGACAUGGGUUAGUCGGUCCUAAGAGAUGGGGUAAUUCCUUUUGGAAUAGCGUGCGACUUGGUAACUCGCACACUCUCAUCGAAAGGGAAUCCGGUUAAUAUUCCGGAACCAGAAUGUGGAUAAUGCGCGGUAACGCAACUGAUCCCUGUGACGUUGACGGAAGCCCCGGAAAGAGUUAUCUUUUCUUUUUAACACUUGUAACGACCCUGGAAUUGGUUUAUCCAGAGAUAGGGCCAACACAAUGUGGAAAAAGCACUCACAUCUGCUGAGUGUCCGGUGCGCUUUCGACAACCCUUGAAAAGCAGGGGGAGUUUAUUAUUUGCACUUCUGCCCGUACCUAUAACCGCAGCAGGUCCUCAAGGUUCACAACCUCUGGUGCUAGCGUCAAUGUAAGUAAGGGAAGUCGGCAACUUUGGUCCGUAACUUUGGGAUAAGGACUGGCUCUAAGGGCUGGGUGUUUGGGGUUCGCUUUCUGAAGCUUGUAACUAGAUUUGUGGCUAACGGACCUUCCCAUUCCAGGGAGGGACCGUGGUCCAGGUCCGGAUACUUGUGGACGGUUGCGAAAUGGUGACGGUUCAGUUGUUCCCAACUGUUCCGAAUCCUUUUCCCUGCACAAUUAACAGCCAUCUUAGAACUGUUGCGGACAUUGGGAAUCCGACUGUUUAAUUAAAACAAAGCAAUGUGAAGGUCAUCACCUGAUGCUGACACAUUGUGAUUUCUGCCCAGUGCUCUGAAUGUCACAGUGAAGAGAUUCAACCAAGCGCGGGUAAACGGCGGGAGUAACUAUGACUCUCUUAAGGUAGCCAAAUGCCUCGUCAGCUGACUACUGACGCGCAUGAAUGGAUUAACGAGAUUCCCACUGUCCCUACUUACAACGCAGUGAAACCACAGCCAAGGGAACGGGCUUGGAUAUAUUAGCGGGGAAAGAAGACCCUGUUGAGCUUGACUCUAGUUUGAUAUUGUGAGAUGACUUGGGAGGUAUAGAAUAAGUGGGAGUAACUUUGUUACGCCGAUGAAAUACCACUACUCUUGAUGUUGUUUCACUUAUUUGGUGAAGAGUAAAAUAGAAGCUAACGCUUCUAUAUUACAUGUGCAAAGUACUGUGGGCGUUCUUGGUUUCUCCGUCAGGGGUAACUUUGUUCGUCAACGAAACGGUGCGAUACUCGUCAAAGACAUUAUCAGGUGGGGAGUUUGGCUGGGGCGGCACAUCUGUUAAAAAAUAACACAGGUGUCCUAAGGUAAGCUCAAUGAGAACAGAAAUCUCAUGUGGAAUAAAAGGGUAAAAGCUUGCUU